RNAcentral lists this ribosomal RNA (1491 nucleotides) under metagenome. Its description in RNAcentral is "bacterial SSU rRNA". It matches the Rfam family "Bacterial small subunit ribosomal RNA". The record is from RNAcentral.
AGAGUUUGAUCCUGGCUCAGAUUGAACGCUGGCGGCAUGCCUUACACAUGCAAGUCGAACGGCAGCACGAGAGCUUGCUCUUGGUGGCGAGUGGCGAACGGGUGAGUAAUAUAUCGGAACGUACCCUAGAGUGGGGGAUAACGUAGCGAAAGUUACGCUAAUACCGCAUACGAUCUACGGAUGAAAGUGGGGGAUCGCAAGACCUCAUGCUCAUGGAGCGGCCGAUAUCUGAUUAGCUAGUUGGUGGGGUAAAAGCUCACCAAGGCGACGAUCAGUAGCUGGUCUGAGAGGACGACCAGCCACACUGGAACUGAGACACGGUCCAGACUCCUACGGGAGGCAGCAGUGGGGAAUUUUGGACAAUGGGCGCAAGCCUGAUCCAGCAAUGCCGCGUGAGUGAAGAAGGCCUUCGGGUUGUAAAGCUCUUUUGUCAGGGAAGAAACGGUGGACUCUAAUACAGAUCACUAAUGACGGUACCUGAAGAAUAAGCACCGGCUAACUACGUGCCAGCAGCCGCGGUAAUACGUAGGGUGCAAGCGUUAAUCGAAAUUACUGGGCGUAAAGCGUGCGCAGGCGGUUGUGCAAGACAGAUGUGAAAUCCCCGGGCUCAACCUGGGAAUUGCAUUUGUGACUGCACGGCUAGAGUGUGUCAGAGGGGGGUAGAAUUCCACGUGUAGCAGUGAAAUGCGUAGAGAUGUGGAGGAAUACCGAUGGCGAAGGCAGCCCCCUGGGAUAACACUGACGCUCAUGCACGAAAGCGUGGGGAGCAAACAGGAUUAGAUACCCUGGUAGUCCACGCCCUAAACGAUGUCUACUAGUUGUCGGGUCUUAAUUGACUUGGUAACGCAGCUAACGCGUGAAGUAGACCGCCUGGGGAGUACGGUCGCAAGAUUAAAACUCAAAGGAAUUGACGGGGACCCGCACAAGCGGUGGAUGAUGUGGAUUAAUUCGAUGCAACGCGAAAAACCUUACCUACCCUUGACAUGUCUGGAAUCCUUGAGAGAUCAGGGAGUGCUCGAAAGAGAAUCAGAACACAGGUGCUGCAUGGCUGUCGUCAGCUCGUGUCGUGAGAUGUUGGGUUAAGUCCCGCAACGAGCGCAACCCUUGUCAUUAGUUGCUACGAAAGGGCACUCUAAUGAGACUGCCGGUGACAAACCGGAGGAAGGUGGGGAUGACGUCAAGUCCUCAUGGCCCUUAUGGGUAGGGCUUCACACGUCAUACAAUGGUACAUACAGAGGGCCGCCAACCCGCGAGGGGGAGCUAAUCCCAGAAAGUGUAUCGUAGUCCGGAUUGUAGUCUGCAACUCGACUACAUGAAGUUGGAAUCGCUAGUAAUCGCGGAUCAGCAUGUCGCGGUGAAUACGUUCCCGGGUCUUGUACACACCGCCCGUCACACCAUGGGAGCGGGUUUCACCAGAAGUGGGUAGCCUAACCGCAAGGAGGGCGCUCACCACGGUGGGAUUCGUGACUGGGGUGAAGUCGUAACAAGGUA